UUAAAGUAAUCAAUUUUCAAAACGUUUAUUAAUGAAUUUUCUAUUUCAAAGGUCUAUUAUUCAAAACAAUUGACAGAAACUGACAGUAACAAUCACUUAUAUAGUUUUGGUGUAAUGUACUGGUUACAAUAAGGAGAUUAAUGGUUUUAUAUAUCGGAUCGAUACGUUCGUGAUAGCCACGUCUUUACAACCUUAUUAUUGAUGGUUAUUAAAAGAAAGAGAAAAAUAUUUAAAUUCAAUGUAACUUUCAAAAGACCCAAAGAAUUAAAUAAUUUCAAUGAAGUAACUAACUGAUUAUUCCAUAAAUAAUUAUUCCUUCUAGAGAUUUAUAAUUUUAUUUUUGUUUUGAAAAAUUGUAAUCUUAUGUAGUUGAAAAAAAGCUUAGUUUGUUCUGUUUAUUUAUUAAUAGAGUGGUUGUCAAAGGGAGCAGAAAUAGUUCAUAUUUGAAAUUUUGUAUAGUUGAAUAAUUAGUCAAGGGAAUGAGGACAGAAAUUAAAUGUCAAGUAAAAAAUAUGAUGAUAAAAUUGUAGCAAAAUUACUCCAGUAAAAAUAUAUUAUCAUUUACACGAAUAGAGCAAUAAAGUCAGUAUUAAAAAAAAAGAGCUCCCAGAGGAAGACAGUUCGUAACUCGAUUCUAAAAGCAUAAUGGACACUCAUCCUAAUGGACCACAAGAUUGCUGUUUUGCAUGUCAAAACACUAGAUAAAAGAAGCCGGUCUGCUCCGAGCACCUUUCUAUUGAAUUUCUAGGUGUCUGAAAAAUUUCAGAGCACAUACAUAUUUUGGUUGAAAUUUCCUCGUCGUUAAUAUAUUCAGAAUUUAAAAUAUAUCUUAUAAUUUUAAAAACGUUCAAGCUAUACUUUUCAUUUUAAAAAUAAUAAAUUUACGGAAUUGACGUUCUAAAUUUUCAAUUUGAAAGUAAUUAGAGUUAAUUGGUGAACAUUGAAAUUUGUCGAGAAUACUUAAAAUCAAAUAAUGUUUCUAUAUAAGAAUCUACAAAAAAGAUUAUAGAAAGAUAAUUUAAGAUAUCUUCUUUCAUUCGAAUGCUUUCAUUCAAGCAACACUUCACCACGUUGUGUAUUUAUUUCUUAAAUCAACAUUUCAAUAGUUUUUUAAAUACCGCUGUGCAAUAUUCCGUAUUUCACGCCCACUUGAGAAACGCUUUAAUAAACUGGUAGAAUUUGAAGUAGUAAAACAUGCAAAGGAUGUGCGAGUAAAGAUGAUAUUAAAAAGAUCCGUUCAACCAGAAGAAUUGUACUUCUACGAAAAUAUCUUACAUUUGAAACUCAAUUGAUCGUGACCUAUCGAGCAUAUUACUGUUCAAUUCUUAUUAAUCUUGAAUGUAAAAUCAAUAAUUCAAACUCUUCCAGUAGCCAAAUAAUUUUAUUUUCUCGGUGUCUCUUUUUUAAUACCAAAUUCUUAGAAACACCCUGUAAUAUUGUUACCCUGUUUCAGAAGAAACUAAAUUAAAAUAACAUUAAAUAUUCCAUCUUUCAAUUACCUCUGAGCAACAUAAAUCACGAUACCUACAACCGAAAAACACCUCACUCAGCCUUAAACUUCUCCUUGAAACAUCGAUUCAUAUAAACAUCCCCCCAAAUCAUAUACUUUGAUGUUUCUACUCGACAUAUCGUAUCGAAGGUCUCGUCGGAUCACUAUUGACCAAAGAAGAAAUAUUCCUCGACCGAAAAUAGAACAUCGACACGGUUUGUUUAAAGGAAGGGCACGUUUGGCACUGGAUAACACACUCGGAGGAGCACACUCUGUUUAGGUCGAGCGGGUCGAGUUGACCCGACGGCUUGUUGGCCGCGUUGAUGGUGGCGAGAAGCAGAAAACUAAAAGGAUGAAUCGCGGGAUAAAGUUUUCGUGCUGGUUUCACCACGGAAAUCCGACGGCUGACUGGAGGAUUCGCAGACGUGCGCCUUUAAUUUAGAGGCGCGGAGCGCCCUCGAGCCCGCACACUGCAUUCGCCGUUUCUCCCUGACGCCUGUGCUCGUAUAUGUGUUCUGUGUACGAUGUUGGUACACAAAUCCCAGCUGAAAGUGCUUUUUCGCGCUGGUUUCAGUUGCACAAGUGCCACCGACCGCUGCACAAUUCCGUUGGUUAAUUGGCCGAAACUUGUGACGCGAGAAAUGCCAGGCCGUUUAAAGGACCGUCGAGGUUGAACCGAAAUCAACCUGAAAUCCUAUGUUUCAGGAAAUACUUCCUGAUUUCACUGGACCAUGACUGGAUAAAUAGAGAGAAUAAUGAUGAACGUCGAAACGAGGAAAGGUGCUUCAUCGAUAUACACUUCUCUGGCCUUAAUUUCAACAACAUUGAUUUCCCCGUUUCGAGGAAUAAUUGUGCACUAUUCGACACUUGUUUUUGGUAGGUUUUAUAGAAAUGGAAGUCAUCGCUUACCCAUUUCGUCAAUGAUUGGCGCCAUUCUAAGGGUGACUCCGACCAAGAGCAAAG
Long non-coding RNA from Osmia bicornis bicornis, 2452 nucleotides. RefSeq lists it as uncharacterized. The transcript is spliced from 3 exons. NCBI's taxonomy places the organism in Eukaryota, Metazoa, Arthropoda, Insecta, Hymenoptera, Megachilidae. The record is from RefSeq and is a predicted model, not a curated record.